RNAcentral lists this ribosomal RNA (259 nucleotides) under uncultured bacterium. Its description in RNAcentral is "partial 16S ribosomal RNA". It matches the Rfam family "Bacterial small subunit ribosomal RNA", at positions 524 to 776 of the family's 1533-position model. The record is from RNAcentral.
UACGUAGGGGCAAGCGUUGUCCGGAAUUAUUGGGCGUAAAGCGCGCGCAGGCGGUCUCUUAAGUCUGAUGUGAAAUCUUGCGGCUCAACCGCAAGCGGUCAUUGGAAACUGGGAGACUUGAGUACAGAAGAGGAGAGUGGAAAUUCCAUGUGUAGCGGUGAAAAUGCGUAGAUAUAUGGAGGAACACCAGUGGCGAAAGGCGACUCUCUGGUCUGUAAACUGGAACGCUGAGGCGCGAAAAGCGUGGGGAGCAAACAGG